Molecule: long non-coding RNA, 2597 nt
Organism: Paramormyrops kingsleyae
Lineage: Eukaryota; Metazoa; Chordata; Actinopteri; Osteoglossiformes; Mormyridae
Source: RefSeq, a predicted model, not a curated record
UGAUCAAUUUAUUUUGAAGAACACUUCACAUCAGUACUGAGGCUGAGGUGGUUAGUUAUAUAUAAACAGAGAGACAUGCAAAUCAAAAUAUGUGAUCCUAAAUUUGGACUUAGUGCUUCCUCAAUUUUGUGAGCAAGUAGCAGCAGUGGGAUUACUGUAUGGAUGCUCUGGAACAAUGCGCGCUACAUCCAGCAGUCACAACUCAUCACUACUCAUUCCUGUCCCCUGGCAGUUGCUAACUGGUAAGACGUCGAAACGGAGCGGCAAACGGAGCACGUCCCGGACUGUCAUAGACAUAUUUUAAUAUUACGGCUGCUAUCUUUUCGAAAGCAAGAAACGUUCGAGAGAAAGAUGCAGAGAUGGUCAGAGAGAGCUUACCUCGACAUAACAGAGAAACAAGGCCAUGAUCAGUAGAAUGUUCUGUCAUUUCAAGAAGUGAAAGGAGCUCCCUGUUCUGAGUCAUCCGAGCCGUCAUGUAGGCUUGGAAGGUCCAGUGGUGGCCGGGGUUUGCAUUCGGAGAAGUAAGGCCUCCCCUUCCUUUAUCAGCCCACGUUGAAUAAAACCAGACAUUGAUUUCCGUUAUAGUUUCUGAAGUGCUACCCAUCCCAUCCAUAGAAGGUGUGGGCUGCUAUCCAGGUCUCCAUACUCAUCAAUAUUGUUACUUUAGCUGAAGGAAAUACGAAGUAAUGACCAGACUGAUUACUCAAAAGGCAAUAAAUGACAGAAAUGGAUGGAACAUUAUAUUAUGAAGGUUAAGACCCCUUAAUAAUCCACUUGGAAAUAUUUAUACUAACAUCUGGCCCUCGCAGCUUCUUAUCAUACUCUUGCUGAUAAGGACAGUGAUAAUACUGACAAUAUGAAACAUCUGGAGUAAUAAACUACAAUUAUUCAUCUAGAGAGAAUGAAAUAUAUUUGUCUGUUGUGUUUGUAUUAUGUCGGUAAAUCAAGCGGCCCAUUCAUAUAUCUGUUGUCUUUUUCUGCAGAUCAAGCUGAGGGUUAUGGCAUCCAGAGAGGAAUACACGCAUUGCGCAACCUGCAAUUAUCACUCACGCAGAAAACAUACUGAGAAAGAAUCUCGGAGUAGUUAUUCAUAAACUUAUCUAUCGAAAUAUCAUUUUCCUGCUUUUGUUCAUGGUAAAUUAUCAAACUUGAAAUUUUACUUUGUGUACAUCCUAAUGAUAUGAUUCUGUUCGUAAAGCGAGAGCCCCAGGAAUUUGCUCGUUUACUGAACGGAAGGCAGCCUGGAAUGGCAUUCUCCUACCUGGUGCCACAAUCUUUACAAACACAAGGCCAAAGCAGGAACAAACCUUGGACAUAAAUGGAAUUUGGGGCAUCAACGGGAGUUCACCUUACAUCUUACUGGGUGGACCAAGAAUCAUAAUGGCAAGUUCCUUAGCGAGUGCCCAAGGGCUGACAAGGUCACGCUCGGAGCCGGAAUCUGAAGCUGCGGCCUUCAGUUGUGUGUUUUUCUUGGACUUCUGUGCUAACUCAGCAUUAGCCAGACAAGUCACGGGGAGUAUUGUGUACGUGCUGGUCAUGAUUUUACUGGACAGGAGGAACGAGACGCCAAACCAAAUCUGUGGGUUCCCUUAGCCAUUUUGAUCUUGCAGAAUACCUUAAUUUGACUGUACAGUUGAACUGCCUGCCCUGUCGCAGAAAAGAAUCGCUGCCCCACUUUCUUCAGUGACAUGCUGGUUGAGUGAUUGUGUUGACAAGGAGGCUAGUGGAUCCAGUGUCCAAGAACAUUAACUAUUCCUCACAGGGUUGGCUUAAAGUUUAGCCCCUGCAUUACAUAACUCUGACAAGCUAAGGCAUAUGCUUUAACCAUGAUGCAUUGUGGGUAUAUGUACUGUAUGACCAUACUGUAUAUUCAUCAGUUAUGGAAGGUUAGGUGGAAGGGACAGUUGUAGGAUCAAACAAUUACGAAUCAUAGCUAUUUUUGAGCUUUAAAAACAUAAUGGAUUAUUAAAAUAUUUAUUUAGUUUGCUUAAGUUUUGUUUUUAAAAAUGUUAUGUGUUUUUUGCUGCCAUGCCCACUGUUCACUUAUUACAACAUACAAAGUAUUGAUGGAACAUCUGUUUCUGAACUCAUCAGAACAAAGACACCACACUGACAAACAUAUUUUUUAGAAAUUGUUUCUGUCUGUUAUAUUUCUGCCUCUUCCCUUGUCUAAUAUUCGGAAAUUGCAUUUGACUGGACCAGAUUUAACAGUGUAUGUGUUGAAUUUGCAAUAAGCAAGUGGUCCAUGGAAAUAGUUUAACAAGAGGCUCGCCACAAACAUGGAAACCAAAUAUUUAAGAAACAAUCACUGGAAACUUCUAUGCAACAGAAGGAUCUUUGAUUUUGACAAUGGGAAUCUAAAUUGCUGCAUGAACAUAAAUUUUAGUUAAUUAUUAUGCGGAACCCCAAGUGAGAAAAUUAAAAUAAAGCUAGUUAGAAUCAGCUUUCGGCAGCCACUUCUGAAUAUUAUCUUUCAAAUUAAGUUCUGUUGUUAUUUUAAUGUCCAUUGAGAGAGAGAUUAUUUUCUCAUGUCAAGUGGUCUGUAUGGAAACAUUAUUAUGUUCUGUUUUGUUGGCCUAUAUAAGGCUUUAAUGCUA